This 494-nucleotide ribosomal RNA is filed under the name uncultured bacterium. RNAcentral describes it as "partial 16S ribosomal RNA". It matches the Rfam family "Bacterial small subunit ribosomal RNA", at positions 28 to 507 of the family's 1533-position model. The record is from RNAcentral.
GACGAACGCUGGCGGCGUGCUUUAGGCAUGCAAGUCGAACGCGAAAGCCCCUUCGGGGGUGAGUAGAGUGGCGAACGGGUGAGUAACACGUGGGUAACCUGCCCCUCGCAGGGGGAUAACCGGGGGAAACCCCGGCUAAUACCCCGUACGCUUGCUGGGGCGCAUGCUCCGGCAAGGAAAGGUAGCUUCGGCCAUCCGGCGAGGGAGGGGCCCGCGGCCCAUUAGCUAGUUGGUGGGGUAACGGCCCACCAAGGCGACGAUGGGUAGCUGGCCUGAGAGGGUGGUCAGCCACACUGGGGCUGAGACACGGCCCAGACUCCUACGGGAGGCAGCAGCCAGGAAUCUUGCGCAAUGGGCGAAAGCCUGACGCAGCAACGCCGCGUGGGCGAUGAAGGCCUUCGGGUCGUAAAGCCCUGUUGUCGGGGACGAAGGGCGAAGGGUUAAUAGCCCCUAGCCUGACGGUACCCGACGAGGAAGCCCCGGCUAACUACGUG